Molecule: unclassified non-coding RNA, 347 nt
Filed under: soil metagenome
Description: partial contains 5.8S ribosomal RNA, internal transcribed spacer 2, and large subunit ribosomal RNA
Rfam family: 5.8S ribosomal RNA (bases 2-121)
Source: RNAcentral
AGAUGAAGAACGCAGCAAAAUGCGAUAAGUAAUGUGAAUUGCAGAAUUCAGUGAAUCAUCGAAUCUUUGAACGCACAUUGCGCCCGCCAGUAUUCUGGCGGGCAUGCCUGUUCGAGCGUCAUUUCAACCCUCAAGCCCUCGGGUUUGGUGUUGGGGAUCGGCGAGCCUUUCUGGCAAGCCGGCCCCGAAAUCUAGAGGCGGUCUCGCUGCAGCCUCCAUUGCGUAGUAGUAAAACCCUCGCAACUGGAACGCGGCGCGGCCAAGCCGUUAAACCCCCAACUUCUGAAUGUUGACCUCGGAUCAGGUAGGAAUACCCGCUGAACUUAAGCAUAUCAAUAAGCGGAGGA